CUUGACAGUGAAUUUUUCCACUUAUGACUCUCUUGACAGGACAGAGACCAUCUCUCCAUGCUCAUUGUAUUCUUGGGACUUGGUGUGUGGUGUUGGACCCUUGAUAAAUGUUUGCUGAAUAGAAUCAAUGGAUGAGUUCAAGUAUCGACUCCCACGUCUCCCAUGUUGUAUUUAGUCCCCAGAGUUCCUUCUGUCUCCACUGCCUAGCCACAUGCCCCAAGCCAAUGUCAUGAGGCCUGAAAUGAAUUAUUCUUACAAUAAGGGACAAACAAUGAAAUAUCUGCCUAGUGGAAUAUUAUGUAACCAAUAAUAAUUGUGUUGGCAAUGUGAAUAAAAUAUGAAGAUGUGGGGCUUUG
RNAcentral lists this long non-coding RNA (356 nucleotides) under Marmota monax (woodchuck). The record is from RNAcentral. Lineage: Eukaryota; Metazoa; Chordata; Mammalia; Rodentia; Sciuridae.